Molecule: non-coding RNA, 261 nt
Organism: Pelobates cultripes (western spadefoot toad)
Lineage: Eukaryota; Metazoa; Chordata; Amphibia; Anura; Pelobatidae
Source: the annotation of a GenBank genome assembly
GCCGUAGAGCCAGCAGGGUACUCAUAGGUAGCCAUGUUGCCAGAGGGAGGGGGUCACCCAGCCCACAAUGGUGUCACACGUCCAUUAUUAUGGUCCAGUAGCGGGUAGAGCCCCAGAAAUAUGGAUUGGGGGGGGUUCACCCCCCCCCAGUAAUAACAGGUCUGAAUGUGGGGCCAGUAGCCCCCCUGAGGGGUAGGAGGGUCCAUAUAGCGAGAAGCUGGCUCACAGACCACUCAGGUAUUAUAUUAGGAUACACUUUUG